AAAAACUACAAACCUGGUUUCCGUGUCCAACGUUUGACCGUCCGUCUUAUUUCAAAAAAUUAUGAAAAUAAAAAGAUAAGUCACACAUAAAGUAUUAAUCAUGUUUUAUCAUCUAACAACAAUAAAAUACUAAUUAUAAAAAAAUUUUAUAUAAGACGGACAAUCAAACGUUGGCACGGAAACCCACGGUU
RNAcentral lists this microRNA precursor (191 nucleotides) under Oryza barthii. RNAcentral's name for it is "MIR812 microRNA precursor family". It matches the Rfam family "MIR812 microRNA precursor family". The record is from Rfam by way of RNAcentral. Lineage: Eukaryota; Viridiplantae; Streptophyta; Magnoliopsida; Poales; Poaceae.